RNAcentral lists this ribosomal RNA (429 nucleotides) under Actinomycetes bacterium. RNAcentral describes it as "Actinobacteria bacterium partial 16S ribosomal RNA". It matches the Rfam family "Bacterial small subunit ribosomal RNA", at positions 355 to 776 of the family's 1533-position model. The record is from RNAcentral. Lineage: Bacteria; Bacillati; Actinomycetota; Actinomycetes.
UAGGGAAUCUUCCGCAAUGCGCGAAAGCCUGACGGAGCAACGCCGCGUGAGUGAUGAAGGUCUUCGGAUCGUAAAACUCUGUUAUUAGGGAAGAACAAAUGUGUAAGUAACUAUGCACGUCUUGACGGUACCUAAUCAGAAAGCCACGGCUAACUACGUGCCAGCAGCCGCGGUAAUACGUAGGUGGCAAGCGUUAUCCGGAAUUAUUGGGCGUAAAGCGCGCGUAGGCGGUUUUUUAAGUCUGAUGUGAAAGCCCACGGCUCAACCGUAGAGGGUCAGUGGAAACUGGAAAACUUGAGUGCAGAAGAGGAUAGUGGAAUUCCAUGUGUAGCGGUGAAAUGCGCAGAGAUAUGGAGGAACACCAGUGGCGAAGGCGACUUUCUGGUCUGUAACUGACGCUGAUGUGCGAAAGCGUGGGGAUCAAACAGG